This 567-nucleotide small RNA is filed under the name Pan troglodytes (chimpanzee). RNAcentral's name for it is "processed transcript". Lineage: Eukaryota; Metazoa; Chordata; Mammalia; Primates; Hominidae. The record is from RNAcentral.
CUCCUCCUGCUGCCGCUGCGCCCCAUCCCCCCGCGGCCGGCCAGUUCCAGCCCGCACCCCGCGUCGGUGCCCGCGCCCCUCCCCGGGCCCCGCCAUGGGCCUCACCGUGUCCGCGCUCUUUUCGCGGAUCUUCGGGAAGAAGCAGAUGCGGAUUCUCAUGGGUGAGGCAGAUCGAGCGCGCGGCCCGGACCGGGGCGCCGGCCCCGGCGCAGCCCUUCCGCCCCCGCGUCCCUCCAGCCCCGCUCACCUGGGUCUCUGGCCCCGAGUCACCCACCUCAUAACGCCCCGGGGCCUCUGCUCUCGGGCGGGUCCCGGUCUGCAUCGCCGACCCCGGGGCCUGACACCCGGAGCUGCGGGCCUGGGUGGGGUGAAGCUCCCUCCGCCCCAGCCCGGCUGUUGGCUUGGAUGCGGCUGGCAAGACCACAAUCCUGUACAAACUGAAGUUGGGGGAGAUUGUCACCACCAUCCCAACCAUAGGCUUCAAUGUAGAAACAGUGGAAUAUAAGAACAUCUGUUUCACAGUCUGGGACGUGGGAGGCCAGGACAAGAUUCGGCCUCUGUGGCGGC